ACUAUUUUGGCAGAAAAGUGCAGCAAAUUUAGAAUUUGUAAAUAUGAUAAGUAUUAUAGGUAGUA
RNAcentral lists this transfer RNA (65 nucleotides) under Schizocephala bicornis. Its description in RNAcentral is "tRNA-Leu". The record is from RNAcentral. Lineage: Eukaryota; Metazoa; Arthropoda; Insecta; Mantodea; Mantidae.